GUCAGGAUAGCUCAGUUGGUAGAGCAGAGGACUGGAA
This 37-nucleotide transfer RNA is filed under the name Hydrilla verticillata (hydrilla). RNAcentral's name for it is "partial tRNA-Phe". The record is from RNAcentral. Lineage: Eukaryota; Viridiplantae; Streptophyta; Magnoliopsida; Alismatales; Hydrocharitaceae.